AAGAAACCAGAGUGGAAAGGUUCUUUUGGUGGUUUUAAGAUCAACAUCAAUCCAGAUGGAACCUAUUCAAUUAGUGUAAAAAAUGUCACAUGGUUAAACAGUGCGCCUACCUUCUUCCAUGCUGAUGGACUACGCCAUGAAGCGGGCAUUGAUCUAAAAUUAACGAAUAUAACCAGUAAUGAUGGCUCCGACAAACUUGGACAUUGGACAAGGACCAAUUUUUAUUAUCUUGCUGGAGCUGCUCAGAUCGUUGCCUCCAUAAAGACCUAUAUUAAUGAAUCAAUUCCUUUGGUUCUCUUUAGUCAGCACUAUGUUAAUGGUGCCAGUUUCACUACUACUAUAGAUAAAGAUUUUACUAUUUCUUCUUUUCCUGGAUUUAAAAUAGAGAGAACAAAAUUACCAUUAGGUUUCUUGUCAUAUGGUGGAAUUAUGUUUGGAGACACAGAGAAAAAAAUAGGAAACUGGAGUUAUGACGGUCUUAAAAUAAAUUCUGGUAUUAAAGGGGGACCACUGGCUUUGUUCGAUUCUUCUGGGAACACGGUCAUUAUUUCCACGGCUAACAACUUCAUGUCGACGUCUGUUUGGCAAGAGGAUUUACGAGAGCUUGGAGGUGCUGUUCACUGGGGAACUAUGGGUAGAGUAAAUACAGUUCCGACUGGUCAUACUGUAGAUACAGUGAUAUUUUAUCACAAUGAAGGA
Molecule: long non-coding RNA, 699 nt
Organism: Patella vulgata (common limpet)
Lineage: Eukaryota; Metazoa; Mollusca; Gastropoda; Patellidae
Exons: 3
Source: RefSeq, a predicted model, not a curated record